This 253-nucleotide ribosomal RNA is filed under the name uncultured bacterium. RNAcentral describes it as "partial 16S ribosomal RNA". It matches the Rfam family "Bacterial small subunit ribosomal RNA", at positions 524 to 776 of the family's 1533-position model. The record is from RNAcentral.
UACGUAGGGGGCUAGCGUUGUCCGGAAUCAUUGGGCGUAAAGCGCGUGUAGGCGGUCCGGUAAGUCCGCUGUGAAAGUCGAGGGCUCAACCCUCGAAUGCCGGUGGAUACUGUCGGGCUUGAGUACGGGAGAGGCGAGUGGAAUUCCUGGUGUAGCGGUGAAAUGCGCAGAUAUCAGGAGGAACACCGAUUGCGAAGGCAGCUCGCUGGAACGGUACUGACGCUGAGGCGCGAAAGCGUGGGGAGCAAACAGG